UCCACGUCGACGCUAGCGCGCGCCCGGGC
This 29-nucleotide small RNA is filed under the name Bombyx mori (domestic silkworm). RNAcentral's name for it is "ovarian small RNA-26710". Lineage: Eukaryota; Metazoa; Arthropoda; Insecta; Lepidoptera; Bombycidae. The record is from RNAcentral.